Molecule: ribosomal RNA, 253 nt
Filed under: uncultured bacterium
Lineage: Bacteria
Description: partial 16S ribosomal RNA
Rfam family: Bacterial small subunit ribosomal RNA
Source: RNAcentral
UACGGAGGGUGCAAGCGUUAUCCGGAUUCACUGGGUUUAAAGGGUGCGUAGGCGGCGCGGUAAGUCGGGUGUGAAAUCUCGGAGCUUAACUCCGAAACUGCAUUCGAUACUGCCGUGCUUGAGGACUGGAGAGGAGACUGGAAUUCCUGGUGUAGCGGUGAAAUGCGCAGAUAUCAGGAGGAACACCGGUGGCGAAGGCGGGUCUCUGGGCAACAACUGACGCUGAGGAGCGAAAGCGUGGGGAGCGAACAGG